RNAcentral lists this ribosomal RNA (252 nucleotides) under uncultured bacterium. Its description in RNAcentral is "partial 16S ribosomal RNA". It matches the Rfam family "Bacterial small subunit ribosomal RNA", at positions 524 to 776 of the family's 1533-position model. The record is from RNAcentral.
UACGUAGGCAGCGAGCGUUGUUCGGAAUUACUGGGCGUAAAGAGUGUGUAGGCGGUGCUCUAAGUUCGGUGUGAAAUCUCCCGCUUAACUGGGAGGGUGCGCCGGAAACUGGAGUGCUCGAACGUGGGAGAGGAAAGCGGAAUUCCUGGUGUAGCGGUGAAAUGCGUAGAUAUCAGGAGGAACACCUGCGGUGUAGACGGCUUUCUGGACCAUUGUUGACGCUGAGACACGAAAGCGUGGGUAGCAAACAGG